GAGAUGUCUUGAGAAACGUGCUUGCUGUAAAUCAUAUUGUACCGCUGAAGUGACCGGGGCCAUCCCCUGCUUCCAUCCGCUGCCACCAUGCAAAGACCAGAGCUCCCACCAGCCCAGGGAACACUUUUCCUAGCACAGGACUGAUGUCCUGCAGCACCUCGCCUAUAGAGCAGCAAAUACUGCCAAAAGCCUCUCAUCUAAAACAAUACUGGGGAGCCAAAGAAUGAGACUUUUCCUGCCCCUGAAAGGGACUUGUUAGCAGUGUCUCCAUGCUUUGAAAAUGGAUCCCCUUAGAGCACAAUGAGUGCUCCUGGCUGAAGCAGCAUCCCAGCUCUGCUUCCCCAGGGUAAAAUUAACGACCCAGUGCUUUCACACCUCCUUCCGAAGCAUUGCAGAGGGGACAACACCUCCACCGGGGCUGGAUAACUCCCUUCCCUCCUGUGGGAGCUGUGCCUGUGACCAGCUGCAAACCAGCACAGCCAGAGGGCACAGCCCGAGCCCUUCCUGUGGUCCCAAGUGCAUGGCCCCCAGCUAUCCCAGCACCAUCACCUGCUUUGUAAAUGUAGAUGUUUGACAUGCGAGUUUUACAGCUAAAGAGUG
Molecule: long non-coding RNA, 600 nt
Filed under: Lonchura striata (white-rumped munia)
Lineage: Eukaryota; Metazoa; Chordata; Aves; Passeriformes; Estrildidae
Description: domestica (Bengalese finch) lncRNA (ENSLSDG00000010530.1)
Source: RNAcentral